RNAcentral lists this ribosomal RNA (939 nucleotides) under Triticum aestivum (bread wheat). Its description in RNAcentral is "partial small subunit ribosomal RNA". The record is from RNAcentral. Lineage: Eukaryota; Viridiplantae; Streptophyta; Magnoliopsida; Poales; Poaceae.
AUGGAUCCCCUGCACUUCCUGAUCCCAAUCCGAGCUGCCCGCUGCCCGUUUCCAGUUCGAUCUGUUCAUGUUCUGAGCUCCUACAGGGAGAUGGAUCUGAAUUGGAGUAGAAUCAUGAAGCUGAAAAACAGUUUUAGGGAGGCCGAUCCGGUCACGGUGCAGAGGGGCUAUGGUUUCAGGCCAAACCAACCAGCUGUUGUUCAUCAGACAAGAUGCAGAUGGAUCAUUGGAGAUGUGACCGAGGUGUUUGAUCAUAACACAUGGAAGCUUGGCAAGAUUGCAAAGAUUGUGAAGAAUGAUUACUUUGUCAUCAGGCUCGCCGACUGCAUCCAGUUGAAAGAGUUCCACAUUUCUAGCUUGAGGGUUCCACAACCACAAGAUGCUCCCACAGCUCCUCCUUAUGGCAAGCAGUUCCCUGCAGCUGAUAACAAGGUGACCCGAAGGGGCAAGCAGCUGCCUGCUGAUGUGCUGAGAAGAUCAGGCAAGAAGAGGAAAUCGUCCGAAGUUCUUGAUUUCUCUCCUCAGCCAAGCCAGAGGAGACUCUUCCAGGUGGCCAGGGAAGAGGCCGCCGCCGCGGAGUGCUCGGUGGCGAGCUGCAGCUCCGCGAACGACGACGCUGGCGGCGUCGGCGUCGGCAGCGGCCGGCACGGGGGCUGCUGCUCCGUGGGGCGCGGCGACGCCCAGUCGCGCGUGGUGGCCGCCUCCCCGCGCGCCGCGUGGUCGUCGUCGGACUCGGACGGCGCGCUGAGCGACGGCGGGCCGGCGGGCGUGGACGUGCACGAGCUGGAGCUGGAGGCGUACCGGUCGACGGUGCGCGCGCUGCACGCGUCCGGGCCGCUGACGUGGGAGCAGGAGUCGCUGCUCACCAACCUGCGCCUCUCCCUCAACAUCUCCAACGAGGAGCACCUCCUCCAGCUCCGCCGCCUGCUCUCCUCCUGA